RNAcentral lists this unclassified non-coding RNA (339 nucleotides) under soil metagenome. Its description in RNAcentral is "partial contains 5.8S ribosomal RNA, internal transcribed spacer 2, and large subunit ribosomal RNA". The stretch from base 1 to 120 matches the Rfam family "5.8S ribosomal RNA", at positions 35 to 154 of the family's 154-position model. The record is from RNAcentral.
GAUGAAGAACGUAGCGAAAUGCGAUAAGUAAUGUGAAUUGCAGAAUUCCGUGAAUCAUCGAAUCUUUGAACGCACAUUGCGCCCCCUGGUAUUCCGGGGGGCAUGCCUGUCCGAGCGUCAUUGUAACCCUCAAGCGCGGCUUGUGUGUUGGGCUUCGUCCCCCCGUGGACGUGCCCGAAAGGCAGUGGCGGCGUCCCGAAUGGUGCCCGAGCGUAUGGGAACUCUCUUCCGCUCGAACCGGCCCAUUCGGCGCUGGUCGAACCCCAAUUUUUUUUUACCGGUUGACCUCGGAUCAGGUAGGGAUACCCGCUGAACUUAAGCAUAUCAAUAAGCGGAGGA